This is a long non-coding RNA of Perca fluviatilis (European perch), 981 nucleotides long. RefSeq lists it as uncharacterized. The transcript is spliced from 4 exons. The record is from RefSeq and is a predicted model, not a curated record. Lineage: Eukaryota; Metazoa; Chordata; Actinopteri; Perciformes; Percidae.
UUGUGAUCUCUGGUCCCCCAAUUUCACCGACCUGAGGACCGCUGUGUCUGCACAUGCCAAGAACAACCUGCCUGCCGAGCAGCGGAAGAUGGUGGCCACCUUGUGUGCCACAACACGGCCACAGCUGACUGCUUCUAAGCCCUCAGCCUGAACGUGGCCCAGUCAAAGAGGAUAAGGGAGCAUUUCCACCAGGCCCUCACCCACACUGGCCAUCACCAGCGUCAACAGAAGCGUCCUCCUCCAGUUCCGAGGACGAAACCCCUGUCCCCUACUAGGAGUCAGGGACCUCAGGACUGCAGGAGCAGAGGGAGUUUAUGGCGAGGCUGCAAAAUACACCAGAGAAGGCCCUCAGGACCAGCCAGUACGGCAGGCUGAUGGUGGUGCAGACUGCGUUCGAGGCUCAACUCCACCUGUCUAAAAAGAUUUCGGAGAGGGCGAGAAGGGCAGCGUAUUGGGUGCAGCCCAGCAUCCCUAGACACACAGACUCUCUCGCUCUCACACACACACACACACACACACACACACACGUAAAUAGUUGUUUUAUUGUGUUUUAUAGAUUGGUUCAGAUUAAUUUUGUAUUAUAACAUGUUCUUUUUUAGUACUUUAAGAUUCCUUUUUUAUUAGAUGUUCUUUUUUAGUAGAUGUUAAGAUUCAUUUACUUUUAGUGUGUUUUCAAAUGUUGUUCAAUAUUGGUAUGUGUUUAAUACAAGUUCCUUUUUACUUAAAAUGUCAACUAUAAUACUGAGCACGCUUAGCCUAAACAUGAAGCUAGGAACACCAAAUUGGUCAGGUAUUCUCAACACAGGCCCACCUUUGAGUUUGAAAAGGUUUAAGGCAAUUUGUAGCUUGAAACAAGCUCCAAAGUAACAGAGUUAAAAAGACAAACAGCCAGAGAACUUGAGACAGAAACCAGCCAGGACCAGUCUUAACUGUUAAAUGUAUAAGGAGCACAUAUGCAAAUAAAAAGCAUUACAAAAUUCA